CCUACGGGUGGCAGCAGUGGGGAAUAUUGGACAAUGGGCGCAAGCCUGAUCCAGCAAUGCCGCGUGUGUGAAGAAGGCCUGCGGGUUGUAAAGCACUUUAAGCAGGAAAGAAGGGGUGAAAGUUAAUACCUUUCAUCAUUGACGUUACCUGCAGAAUAAGCACCGGCUAACUCCGUGCCAGCAGCCGCGGUAAUACGGGGGGUGCGAGCGUUAAUCGGAAUUCGCGGGCGUGAUGCGAUCGGUCGCGGUUGAAAGCCCUGGGCUUAACCUGGGAACUGCGGUGGAGACUGUCGGGCUAGAGUGUGGUAGAGGGGAGUGGAAUUUCCGGUGUAGCAGUGAAAUGCGUAGAGAUCGGAAGGAACACCAGUGGCGAAGGCGGCUCCCUGGACUAACACUGACGCUGAGGUGCGAAAGCGUGGGGAGCAAACAGGAUUAGAUACCCUUGUAGUC
RNAcentral lists this ribosomal RNA (450 nucleotides) under uncultured bacterium. RNAcentral describes it as "partial 16S ribosomal RNA". It matches the Rfam family "Bacterial small subunit ribosomal RNA", at positions 338 to 795 of the family's 1533-position model. The record is from RNAcentral.